GACGAACGCUGGCGGCGCGCCUAACACAUGCAAGUCGAGCGAGAACCAGGGCUUGCCCUGGGGACAGCGGCGAACGGGUGCGUAACACGUGAGCAACCUGCCCCAAAGACCGGGACAACCCGAGGAAACUCGGACUAAUACCGGAUGCCCUCACCGGGUCGCAUGGUCUGGUGAGGAAAUGGAUUCCGCUUUGGGAUGGGCUCGCGGUCUAUCAGCUUGUUGGUGGGGUAACGGCCUACCAAGGCGACGACGGAUAGCUGGUCUGAGAGG
This 270-nucleotide ribosomal RNA is filed under the name uncultured bacterium. RNAcentral's name for it is "partial 16S ribosomal RNA". It matches the Rfam family "Bacterial small subunit ribosomal RNA", at positions 28 to 299 of the family's 1533-position model. The record is from RNAcentral.